AUUGAACGCUGGCGGCAGGCCUAACACAUGCAAGUCGAGCGGAUGAAGGGAGCUUGCUCCUGGAUUCAGCGGCGGACGGGUGAGUAAUGCCUAGGAAUCUGCCUGGUAGUGGGGGAUAACGUCCGGAAACGGGCGCUAAUACCGCAUACGUCCUGAGGGAGAAAGUGGGGGAUCUUCGGACCUCACGCUAUCAGAUGAGCCUAGGUCGGAUUAGCUAGUUGGUGGGGUAAAGGCCUACCAAGGCGACGAUCCGUAACUGGUCUGAGAGGAUGAUCAGUCACACUGGAACUGAGACACGGUCCAGACUCCUACGGGAGGCAGCAGUGGGGAAUAUUGGACAAUGGGCGAAAGCCUGAUCCAGCCAUGCCGCGUGUGUGAAGAAGGUCUUCGGAUUGUAAAGCACUUUAAGUUGGGAGGAAGGGCAGUAAGUUAAUACCUUGCUGUUUGGACGUUACCAACAGAAUAAGCACCGGCUACUUCGUG
This 483-nucleotide ribosomal RNA is filed under the name uncultured bacterium. Its description in RNAcentral is "partial 16S ribosomal RNA". It matches the Rfam family "Bacterial small subunit ribosomal RNA", at positions 30 to 507 of the family's 1533-position model. The record is from RNAcentral.